GCCCAACGGUGGACAUGUGGUUUAUUCGAUGCAACGCGAAGAACCUUACCUAGUCUUGACAUCCACAGAACUUACCAGAGAUGCUUUGGUGCCUUCGGGAACUGUGAGACAGGUGCUGCAUGGCUGUCGUCAGCUCGUGUUGUGAAAUGUUGGGUUAAGUCCCGCAACGAGCGCAACCCUUAUCCUUUGUUGCCAGCGAUUAGGCCGGGAACUCAAAGGAGACUGCCAGUGAUAAACUGGAGGAAGGUGGGGAUGACGUCAAGUCAUCAUGGCCCUUACGACCAGGGCUACACACGUGCUACAAUGGCAUAUACAAAGAGAAGCGACCUCGCGAGAGCAAGCGGACCUCAUAAAGUAUGUCGUAGUCCGGAUUGGAGUCUGCAACUCGACUCCAUGAAGUCGGAAUCGCUAGUAAUCGUGGAUCAGAAUGCUACGGUGAAUACGUUCCCGGGCCUUGUACACACCGCCCGUCACACCAUA
Molecule: ribosomal RNA, 480 nt
Filed under: Enterobacteriaceae bacterium
Lineage: Bacteria; Pseudomonadati; Pseudomonadota; Gammaproteobacteria; Enterobacterales; Enterobacteriaceae
Description: bacterial SSU rRNA
Rfam family: Bacterial small subunit ribosomal RNA
Source: RNAcentral